AGAGUUUGAUCAUGGCUCAGGAUGAACGCCGGCGGUGUGCCUAAUACAUGCAAGUCGUACGCACUGGCCCAACUGAUUGAUGGUGCUUGCACCUGAUUGACGAUGGAUCACCAGUGAGUGGCGGACGGGUGAGUAACACGUAGGCAACCUGCCCCGGAGCGGGGGAUAACAUUUGGAAACAGAUGCUAAUACCGCAUAACAACAAAAGUCACAUGGCUUUUGUUUGAAAGAUGGCUUUGGCUAUCACUCUGGGAUGGACCUGCGGUGCAUUAGCUAGUUGGUAAGGUAACGGCUUACCAAGGCGAUGAUGCAUAGCCGAGUUGAGAGACUGAUCGGCCACAAUGGAACUGAGACACGGUCCAUACUCCUACGGGAGGCAGCAGUAGGGAAUCUUCCACAAUGGGCGCAAGCCUGAUGGAGCAACACCGCGUGAGUGAAGAGGGGUUUCGGCUCGUAAAGCCCUGUUGUUGGAGAAGAACGUGCGUGAGAGUAACUGUUCACGCAGUGACGGUAUCCAACCAGAAAGUCACGGCUAACUACGUGCCAGCAGCCGCGGUAAUACGUAGGUGGCAAGCGUUAUCCGGAUUUAUUGGGCGUAAAGCGAGCGCAGGCGGUUGCUUAGGUCUGAUGUGAAAGCCUUCGGCUUAACCGAAGAAGUGCAUCGGAAACCGGGCGACUUGAGUGCAGAAGAGGACAGUGGAACUCCAUGUGUAGCGGUGGAAUGCGUAGAUAUAUGGAAGAACACCAGUGGCGAAGGCGGCUGUCUGGUCUGCAACUGACGCUGAGGCUCGAAAGCAUGGGUAGCGAACAGGAUUAGAUACCCUGGUAGUCCAUGCCGUAAACGAUGAGUGCUAGGUGUUGGAGGGUUUCCGCCCUUCAGUGCCGGAGCU
RNAcentral lists this ribosomal RNA (890 nucleotides) under uncultured bacterium. RNAcentral describes it as "bacterial SSU rRNA". It matches the Rfam family "Bacterial small subunit ribosomal RNA", at positions 8 to 853 of the family's 1533-position model. The record is from RNAcentral.